Molecule: long non-coding RNA, 209 nt
Filed under: Elaeis guineensis (African oil palm)
Lineage: Eukaryota; Viridiplantae; Streptophyta; Magnoliopsida; Arecales; Arecaceae
Description: long non-coding RNA (EGUI_LNC062655)
Source: RNAcentral
UGAACAGAGAGCGUCUCUGAAAAAGUGGAUGGAUGACGAUAACAAAGUCAGGUACUACAUGUUGGGUGCCAUGUCUGAUGACUUGCAGCGCUAGCAUGAGAACAUUAUGACUACCCGCCAAAUGUUGGCUCACCUACAAGAGUUGUUUGGUGAACAAAGUCGCACAGCCAAGUAUCAAGUCUGCCAAAGACUUUUUAAGGCUAAAAUGU